CAAAAUUGAACAGGCUUCUAAAGCAGCUGCAACAGCCUACAUCAACUGCAACUCAGAAAAGGGAACAGCAUCAAAUGUGGUCCAGGGAUCACAUGGAACAGCUGAUGAAGAACAUGCCCAAGUCGCUAGCAGCACAACUGCCGACAAGCAGGACACAUAAACCAAAGCUAAAGCUAGUCUUCUAUGCAUCCAAAGAUUGAGCAAGAAAAAGAAAAAAAAAAUGCAGAAAACUUAUUCAACAAGUGUUUUGAUUUACUUCAUAUCUCUGAC
Molecule: long non-coding RNA, 270 nt
Filed under: Manihot esculenta (cassava)
Lineage: Eukaryota; Viridiplantae; Streptophyta; Magnoliopsida; Malpighiales; Euphorbiaceae
Description: long non-coding RNA (MESC_LNC005639)
Source: RNAcentral